Molecule: ribosomal RNA, 301 nt
Filed under: uncultured bacterium
Lineage: Bacteria
Description: partial 16S ribosomal RNA
Rfam family: Bacterial small subunit ribosomal RNA
Source: RNAcentral
CAGCAGCCGCGGUAAUACGAAGGGGGCUAGCGUUGUUCGGAUUUACUGGGCGUAAAGCGCACGUAGGCGGAUCCUUAAGUCAGAGGUGAAAUCCCAAGGCUCAACCUUGGAACUGCCUUUGAUACUGGGGAUCUCGAGUUCGGGAGAGGUGAGUGGAACUGCGAGUGUAGAGGUGAAAUUCGUAGAUAUUCGCAAGAACACCAGUGGCGAAGGCGGCUCACUGGCCCGAUACUGACGCUGAGGUGCGAAAGCGUGGGGAGCAAACAGGAUUAGAUACCCGCGUAGUCCCUGUCUCUUAUAC